GGACCCGCACAAGCAGUGGAGUAUGUGGUUUAAUUCGACGCUACGCGAAAACCUUACCAGGUCUUGACAUCCAACUAACGAGGCAGAAAUGCAUUAGGUGCCCUUCGGGGAAAGUUGAGACAGGUGGUGCAUGGUUGUCGUCAGCUCGUGUCGUGAGAUGUUGGGUUAAGUCCCGCAACGAGCGCAACCCUUGCUGUUAGUUGCUACGAAAGAGCACUCUAAUAGGACUGCCGUUGACAAAACGGAGGAAGGUGGGGAUGACGUCAAAUCAUCAUGCCCUUUAUGAUCUGGGCUACACACGUACUACAAUGGCCAAAACAAAAGGAAGCGAAAGAGCGAUCUGGAGCAAAUCCUCCAAAAAUGGCCUCAGUUCAGAUUGCAGGCUGAAAUUCGCCUGUAUGAAGAUGGAAUUGCUAGUAAUCGCGAAUCAGCAUGUCG
This 438-nucleotide ribosomal RNA is filed under the name uncultured Bacillota bacterium. RNAcentral describes it as "bacterial SSU rRNA". It matches the Rfam family "Bacterial small subunit ribosomal RNA", at positions 917 to 1359 of the family's 1533-position model. Lineage: Bacteria; Bacillati; Bacillota. The record is from RNAcentral.